RNAcentral lists this ribosomal RNA (460 nucleotides) under uncultured bacterium. RNAcentral's name for it is "partial 16S ribosomal RNA". It matches the Rfam family "Bacterial small subunit ribosomal RNA", at positions 338 to 795 of the family's 1533-position model. The record is from RNAcentral.
CCUACGGGUAGCAGCAGUGAGGAAUAUUGGUCAAUGGACGCAAGUCUGAACCAGCCAUGCCGCGUGCAGGAAGACGGCUCUAUGAGUUGUAAACUGCUUUUUUACGAGAGUAAAGUCAGAUACGCGUAUCUUUCUGAAAGUAUCUUACGAAUAAGGAUCGGCUAACUCCGUGCCAGCAGCCGCGGUAAUACGGAGGAUUCAAGCGUUAUCCGGAUUUAUUGGGUUUAAAGGGUGCGUAGGCGGGUGGAUAAGUUAGGUGUGAAAUCCCGAGGCUCAACUGCGAAAUUGCAUUUGAUACUGGUAGGCUAGAGAGUAGUUGCGGUAGGCGGAAUGCAUGGUGUAGCGGUGAAAUGCUUAGAGAUCAUACAGAACACCGAUUGCGAAGGCAGCUUACCAAGCUACUUCUGACGUUGAGGCACGAAAGCGUGGGGAGCAAACAGGAUUAGAUACCCGUGUAGUC